This 470-nucleotide ribosomal RNA is filed under the name uncultured bacterium. Its description in RNAcentral is "bacterial SSU rRNA". It matches the Rfam family "Bacterial small subunit ribosomal RNA", at positions 28 to 507 of the family's 1533-position model. The record is from RNAcentral.
GGUGAACGCUGGCGGCGUGCUUGACACAUGCAAGUCGAACGGUAUGUGGCAACACAUAGAGUGGCGAACGGGUGAGUAACACGUGGGAACGUAUCUUUUGCAGGGGGAUAACUGACCGAAAGGACAGCUAAUACCGCAUAAGUCCGAGAGGAGAAAGGUGCAAAAGCAUCGGCAGAAGAGCGGCCCGCGGUCCAUCAGCUAGUUGGUGAGGUAAGGGCUUACCAAGGCGACGACGGAUAGCCGGCGUGAGAGCGUGGCCGGCCACAAGGACACUGAGAUACGGGUCCUACUCCUACGGGAGGCAGCAGUGCGGAAUUUUAGAUAAUGGAGGGAACUCUGAUCUAGCGACGCCGCGUGCAGGAAGAAGGUCUUCGGAUUGUAAACUGCUGUGGUAAGGGAAAAAUGCUAUGUAGAGUGGAAAGCUACAUAGAGGGAUGGUACCUUACUAGAAAGCCCCGGCUAACUACGUG